CUUGAUUAGUGACGUCACGCUAACCGCUGGACUUUGAAUUGUCGGCUGCCAAAAAGGGAAUGGAAAAUGAGAAAUGACAAUUAUCAGUGCCUCUCUUGUGAAACAUAGUUUUAAUAACAGUGUAACCUAGGCAUUGAGCGACUAAAAAUGAAGGGUGACAGCCUACUUCUGGAGCUGUGGGAAACGCUUGACAGAGGAGAGACUUUUGAUCUGCUGCUUUUGGACUCUGAUAAUUGGACUGCAUCCUGAAUAAGUAUUAUAUCAUUGAAAAGCCAUUGGACUGGAGAGGGUCAGCUGAAAUACCAACUGCAAACCAAGUCUGCUAAAAGAUUUGAUUAUUGAACUUUGGAUCACCAUGGAGGACAGUUUUCUUCUGCACGUCCUCGAGCUGUCGGCACACUGGUUCGGAGGGUUUCCUUCAGGAAGGAGAGGUCUAUGUUCUGACCACAGGCUGAUAGAAGGAGCCUGAUAACCUUAAAAAACAAGUGCAACACUGCCAGCUGACAUGAAGCAGAUGUCCUCCUGACCCUCUUUUUUCUUGGGAACCAAAACACACAAACAAGAAUACAGGAAUGGAGGGCAUGAAUGUCAGCACAGAAAGUCUGCUACAAGGUGUGGUGUGAUCCUUCAGACUUUAUGAGCUGCAGAAGCUGUUAGAAUAACAUUUGAGCUUUGGUGUGGCGAAGCAAACCAUAAAGUAACUUUACGAGGAAUGUUGUUUUAUUCUCAUGCUGUUUAUGUUUUCAAUCACCUGCCAAGGGUCAAAAGAUGAACUUGAGCAUGUUUUACUUACUGUAGCUCAUUUACACCUUUUUCAUCAAUGGAAAAUGAUUAGCCUUCUGAGCUAUGAGGGUUUACAAUAUGUUCUUCUACAGCUUGAAUAAAACAUACAACAUUUAUAUAACACUGAAUUGUAAAAUGUGACAAUGCAGCUUUA
This is a long non-coding RNA of Notolabrus celidotus (New Zealand spotty), 937 nucleotides long. RefSeq lists it as uncharacterized. The record is from RefSeq and is a predicted model, not a curated record. Lineage: Eukaryota; Metazoa; Chordata; Actinopteri; Labriformes; Labridae. The transcript is spliced from 2 exons.